CUACGGGUCGCUGCAGCAGUGAAUCUUUUGCAAUGCGCGCAAGCGUGACAAAGCAAGCCAAAGUGCUUUUCGCACGAAAAGCUUUUCUUUACUGUAAAAAGGUAGAGGAAUAAGGACUGGGAAAGACUGGUGCCAGCCGCCGCGGUAAUACCAGCAGUUCAAGUUGCAACCAUCAUUAUUGGGUCUAAAACAUCCGUAGCUUGUUUGAUAAGUUUCUUGUGAAAUCUCAUAUCUCAAAUAUGGGGCGUGCAAGAAAUACUAUCUAGCUAGAGACUGGGAGAUGUAAGGAGUACGUCCGAGGUAACGGUAAAAUGUGUUAAUCUUGGGUGGACUAACAAUUAGCGAAGGCACCUUACAAGAACAGAUCUGACAGUGAGGGAUGAAGGCCAGGGGCGCAAAACGGAUUAGAUACCCCUGUAGUC
RNAcentral lists this ribosomal RNA (422 nucleotides) under uncultured archaeon. Its description in RNAcentral is "partial 16S ribosomal RNA". It matches the Rfam family "Archaeal small subunit ribosomal RNA", at positions 323 to 746 of the family's 1478-position model. The record is from RNAcentral.